AAGAAACUCCGAGUGACCCAUCUGCCCUAUCCCUAACCCGCUCUCGUCUCCCUCCCUAGGACGCAGCCGCCCACCGAAUCAAAUCCCGUCGUCGGGCUCGUCUGCCUCGCCAUGACCGAUGAAUGCGUCGGCUGCGGCCACGCCCCCUCUCCAAACGGCGGCGAUGCUGGAGGGAGCAGCUCACGCUGCCAGGCUCCCGACCGAACGCGUCGGGUCAUCUCUCCUCGAGGCCAACCCCUCCUAUUCACCGCAUCUCUCCCUGACUCCGUCUCCUCCACGAGAUGUAGCACCACCCCACGCCAUGGACGCCCUUGCUGGUUGCAUCUCUCCAUGCGCCGCCAAUCCUAUGACACCGCUGCCCGGCAGUCUCCACCAGCACCACGACGGGCGUGGCCUCUGCACGCGCCGUCACCUCCCCUCUAGAUCCGGCCGUCGUCGAGGGCAUAUCCAUCCAGCAGUGCGCCGUCACCUCCCCUCCAGAUCCAGCCGUCGUCAAGGGCGUAUCCAUCCAGCAGCGCGCCGUCAUCCCAAUCAUCACCGUCCACGGCGUCAUCGCCCAGGCCCAGUCACGGGCCGGCAAGACCUCCAUGAUCUCCCUCUUCGUCUGCCAGGUCAUUGAGACCAACGUCCACGAGUGAUUUCCGCAUAGCUUUUGUGUAUGACGGCUGGAGGACCAACUCAGACCUCGCUUGCCUCAGGGUCAGGAGGUCCAAGGCGCCACAAGACCGGGCCAGGAGUUUGCGUAAACCUGGGCCAGGAGUUUAUUUGAUAAAGGCUUCAAUUUGCGCCCCAUUUCAUGGAUUAACGAUGCCAAGAGCAUACCAUUUGUACAAAGUCCCAAGAUCGAUGUCUUCUCACAUAUCUCACAUAAUAACUACUCGUGCUCUGUUUUUUUCUUUGUAUUCAGGUUUCCAGAAUGAUUGGCCACACCUACCUAAAAAGUUCGGAAUUUAACCAUGAGCCCCUUCUGGCCUGGUUCCAUAUUCCAAGGCCCUUCCAUAAUCCAAUUCUUUGUCCCGAACCACCCAUUGAAGAACAUAGACUGUGCAGAAUAUCAGUUUGUUAUAUUUGCAUCAGAUGAACUAUGGGAGCACUUGAACAAUCAGGAAGUUGUGGAUAUAGUUCAUUGUUUACCUCGGAAUGUAGAUGAUUUGCCAUACUUCCUCAUAUAUUACUCUUUCCCAGUGUACUAAAAUAUGCUUCCCAUUUUAGUCUUGCCUUAUAUUGUUGAUAUGUAACCCAAAUAGGUUAAACCGAAUGUUGUAUCGAAACAUGUAGUAUUUACUUGCAAAAGAGCAACUGAGAGCCUGGUGGGUCGGGAUGAAGGAAGAAUACCCCUGAGAGCCCAAACUCGAGUUCGAAAAUAUAUGCAGAAUAUAUGUUUGCCUCUGCUAUAUACAUAUGUAAUUUUCCAGUCUGUGUUUUCUGCUCCUCUUUGGCGCAAUGUGGAAGAUGUUGGUUUUAAAGGCUAGCAGGGAAGCCAGUGAUGGAGUAAUCAGUGGUUUAUGAGGUCAUGGAGCCCAAGACCGGAUGCAGCAGAAGAAGCAGCGUCGUUGCCGUGCACUAAGAAGGUCAACAGAGUCUGUGAGGCGGAAGAUCCAUAGCAUACAGCGGAUGCGUUGGAUAUGCCAUUCCUCAAUGUGUACCUGGAUUCUCUUUGGGCACCCAAUUUUUGGGCAGGUGUUAUUCUAGCAGCCCGCUUCGCUUUGGUCUUCAGAUUAAGCAAUUCUCUGCAUUCAAGGGAAAGGUCAAUAGCUGCUCUCCAAAGCCAACGCCGGUCUGUAUUCAUCUGCUGAAUCAGGUUGGCCACGACGAGGAGACGGACACGACCGCGUCGUCCCAUCGACCUCCGGGGCCUUUGAUAUCUCAGGGUGUGUGUCAUGUUAUGUUGGGUUUCCUGUGAUUUCGGUGCGGGUAGCUACAUAGCGUCCGUGGGCCAUGCGUGUGACAUGCAUGCUAGGUAAUCUUGACUCCUGUGCGACGGUGCUGGAACCGCCUCCGCUGGUUACGGCCGCCGUGGCUAUGCUUGAAGGCAGAAUCACCACGAUGACUGUAGUUGCCGCACUCAGAUCAGAACGGCAGCCACGGUAUAUGAUCAAGCCUUUACUGUCGUCCUCUGAAUUUGGGAUCACGUGCAUCUGCAAGAGAAAGAGCAUGAGAGCCUAAGAGGGUAGUACCACGUUACGAACAAGUUGAUUUUUAUCCAUGGAAUUGAUCUGAUGCGAAGCUGAUGCCACAUAAAAGGUUAACUGAGUUCUUAUCUCCAAUAUGUCAUGAUGUUACAGUUCAAUUAUUUUCACCUCUCUAGCUACUAUGCACGGAAGGUGUUUGCUAAUUUGCACAAUGAUAUUUUCUGGCAUCUAGCUGCAGGUGGAAUAACAAGAUUCAGUGUGUGCAACGACAACAAUAAAUAACAUGUCAUUAGGGAGACUUCUGACAAUUGAACCCUGCAUUUUUUUGGCAUUAGUACAACUGUUCUACUGCAUUAUUCAACUAUGCGCGAUGAAGCUGAUAUAGGGUGUGGACUAGACAAUUUAUUCAGUUUUCUUCAAGAAGGUAUGCAGAUUGGGCAUCAAAGUAGACGACAAAGGAUGCUGCACCUUACAACUUAAAAAUUGAAAGAUACUUUCUAUUUUAUAUUGAUGUGAUCGCCAGCGAGAACAAAUUUUUGACUGAAUUUGUUUCAUUAAAGUGAAGUUGUUCGGACUUUUCUUUGAAUGUUUCUUUUAGUUGCGUAAAAAAGCAUUGUGGGUAAUUUUUUUGAGCUGAUUAUGAGUAAUGUUUGGUUCCAUGCAGGACCAAGGAAUGAACACGAAGCAAAUUAUAACUCUCAGGUUCAUGGUUUAGGAGCAGGAAAGAACACUUCCAAUUGUGUAGAUGGGUCAUCAGUAGCAUUUCUCUAAUUAUUCUUAUAGAGACUGAUUUGGAUUGUUGAAGGAAAGGAUCUCAAUUCUCAAUAGCAAACUGCACUGGGACAUCUUGGACCUAUUCUCCACAUUUCUGAGCUAGGUUGGACAGCAUGUCAUGGGGGGAAAUCAUUUCUUCCUUCCAAUCCGUGGGCUAAAUUUGUUAUCACCAUGUUUUAAA
This is a long non-coding RNA of Triticum aestivum (bread wheat), 3087 nucleotides long. RefSeq lists it as uncharacterized. The record is from RefSeq and is a predicted model, not a curated record. NCBI's taxonomy places the organism in Eukaryota, Viridiplantae, Streptophyta, Magnoliopsida, Poales, Poaceae. The transcript is spliced from 6 exons.